CCUACGGGAGGCAGCAGUGGGGAAUAUUGGGCAAUGGAGGAAACUCUGACCCAGCGACGCCGCGUGCGGGAUGAAGGCCUUCGGGUUGUAAACCGCUUUCAGUAGGGAAGAAGCGAAAGUGACGGUACCUACAGAAGAAGCACCGGCUAACUAUGUGCCAGCAGCCGCGGUAAUACAUAGGGUGCAAGCGUUGUCCGGAAUUAUUGGGCGUAAAGAGCUCGUAGGUGGUUCGUCACGUCGGAUGUGAAAAUCUGGGGCUCAACCCCAGACCUGCAUUCGAUACGGGCGAUCUAGAGUGUGGUAGGGGAGACUGGAAUUCCUGGUGUAGCGGUGGAAUGCGCAGAUAUCAGGAGGAACACCAAUGGCGAAGGCAGGUCUCUGGGCCAUUACUGACACUGAGGAGCGAAAGCGUGGGGAGCGAACAGGAUUAGAUACCCUGGUAGUCCACGCCGUAAACGGUGGGCACUAGUUGUGGGAACCUUCCACGGUUUCUGCGACGCAGCUACGCAUAAGUAGCCCGCCGUCGGGAGGUACGAGUCGCGAAGAAUUAAACUAACAAAGAAGUAGUAGACGCGAGAGAGCGACGACGACGACGACGGAGGAGAG
This 606-nucleotide ribosomal RNA is filed under the name uncultured bacterium. RNAcentral describes it as "bacterial SSU rRNA". The stretch from base 1 to 522 matches the Rfam family "Bacterial small subunit ribosomal RNA", at positions 338 to 873 of the family's 1533-position model. The record is from RNAcentral.